This is a long non-coding RNA of Rattus norvegicus (Norway rat), 561 nucleotides long. NCBI's taxonomy places the organism in Eukaryota, Metazoa, Chordata, Mammalia, Rodentia, Muridae. The record is from Ensembl.
CUUCCAGCUACUCCACCAGGUUCUCAGGUCCUGGACUCCGUCCUAAUUCCUCACCUCCUACUGCGAGCCUUGCACAGGACGAGAGAAGGCGGCAGAGUUUCUAAGAAACUUCAGUUCCUCAAUACACUCAGGACCUUUGUGGAAGGCACAGCCACAAGCACAGAACUGAGACUUCCUAUCUGGUUAGCCAGCUGCUUCCAUACUCAGCCAUCGAUACGUUCUUCGAACUGGUCCUUCUCUUCCCUACAACUACCCAGUGACAACAGGGGUCUUCGGUCACUCAAGGCCAGAGACCUCGGCCUCUAGAGUAUGGAGGGAGCCAUCAGCUUGAUGCAAGCUCUUUGAAGCAGGAUAUAAAAACAUGAAGGCAACAGUCAGGCAUCAUAACAUUUUAUGGUGAACUGAAGAAACGCAGGCUUGCACAGGCCGGUUAACAUUUCAGAAGACAUGCCGGUGCUUGACCUAAAGCAAGGCGGCCCACAAGUGGACUGAAAAACAAUACUAGCUCUCUCUCACAGGGCUUGAGGAGAGUGAUGAAGACGUUUUUUUUUUUUUUUCCAG